UGGGGAAUAUUGGACAAUGGGCGAAAGCCUGAUCCAGCCAUGCCGCGUGUGUGAAGAAGGCCUUUUGGUUGUAAAGCACUUUAAGCGAGGAGGAGGCUACUUGGAUUAAUACUCUAGGAUAGUGGACGUUACUCGCAGAAUAAGCACCGGCUAACUCUGUGCCAGCAGCCGCGGUAAUACAGAGGGUGCGAGCGUUAAUCGGAUUUACUGGGCGUAAAGCGUGCGUAGGCGGCUUCUUAAGUCGGAUGUGAAAUCCCUGAGCUUAACUUAGGAAUUGCAGUCGAUACUGGGAAGCUAGAGUAUGGGAGAGGAUGGUAGAAUUCCAGGUGUAGCGGUGAAAUGCGUAGAGAUCUGGAGGAAUACCGAUGGCGAAGGCAGCCAUCUGGCCUAAUACUGACGCUGAGGUACGAAAGCAUGGGGAGCAAACAGG
RNAcentral lists this ribosomal RNA (430 nucleotides) under Acidobacteriota bacterium. RNAcentral describes it as "Acidobacteria bacterium partial 16S ribosomal RNA". It matches the Rfam family "Bacterial small subunit ribosomal RNA", at positions 355 to 776 of the family's 1533-position model. Lineage: Bacteria; Pseudomonadati; Acidobacteriota. The record is from RNAcentral.